CCCAGGUGUCCCCAGGUGUAUCCAGGUGUAUUUAGGAUGUCCCCAGGUGUCCCCAGGUGUAUCCAGGUGUAUCCAGGUGUAUCCAGGUG
Molecule: long non-coding RNA, 89 nt
Filed under: Cyanistes caeruleus (blue tit)
Lineage: Eukaryota; Metazoa; Chordata; Aves; Passeriformes; Paridae
Description: lncRNA (ENSCCEG00000005403.1)
Source: RNAcentral